ACGGUACCUGCAGAAGAAGCACCGGCUAACUACGUGCCAGCAGCCGCGGUGAUACGUAGGGUGCGAGCGUUGUCCGGAAUUAUUGGGCGUAAAGAGCUCGUAGGCGGUCUGUCGCGUCGGAAGUGAAAACUCGGGGCUCAACCCCGAGCCUGCUUUCGAUACGGGCAGACUUGAGGAAUGUAGGGGAGAACGGAAUUCCUGGUGGAGCGGUGGAAUGCGCAGAUAUCAGGAGGAACACCAGUGGCGAAGGCGGUUCUCUGGACAUUAACUGACGCUGAGGAGCGAAAGCGUGGGGAGCAAACAGGCUUAGAUACCCUGGUAGUCCACGCCGUAAACGGUGGGCACUAGGUGUGGGGAACAUUCCACGUUCUCCGUGCCGUAGCUAACGCAUUAAGUGCCCCGCCUGGGGAGUACGGCCGCAAGGCUAAAACUCAAAGGAAUUGACGGGGGCCCGCACAAGCGGCGGAGCAUGUUCAUUAAUUCGAUGCAACGCGAAGAACCUUACCUAGGUUUGACAUAUACCGGAAACAUCUGGAGACAGGUGCCCCGCAAGGUC
RNAcentral lists this ribosomal RNA (556 nucleotides) under uncultured bacterium. RNAcentral's name for it is "bacterial SSU rRNA". It matches the Rfam family "Bacterial small subunit ribosomal RNA", at positions 472 to 1028 of the family's 1533-position model. The record is from RNAcentral.